GUGGGGAUAUUGCACAAUGGGCGAAAGCCUGAUGCAGCCAUGCCGCGUGUAUGAAGAAGGCCUUCGGGUUGUAAAGUACUUUCAGUCGUGAGGAAGGGUGUGCAGUUAAUAGCUGUACAUCUUGACGUUAGCGACAGAAGAAGCACCGGCUAACUCCGUGCCAGCAGCCGCGGUAAUACGGAGGGUGCGAGCGUUAAUCGGAAUUACUGGGCGUAAAGCGCAUGCAGGUGGUUCAUUAAGUCAGAUGUGAAAGCCCGGGGCUCAACCUCGGAACCGCAUUUGAAACUGGUGAACUAGAGUGCUGUAGAGGGGGGUAGAAUUUCAGGUGUAGCGGUGAAAUGCGUAGAGAUCUGAAGGAAUACCAGUGGCGAAGGCGGCCCCCUGGACAGACACUGACACUCAGAUGCGAAAGCGUGGGGAGCAAACAGGAUUAGAUACCCUGGUAGUCCACGCCGUAAACGAUGUCUACUUGGAGGUUGUGGCCUUGAGCCGUGGCUUUCGGAGCUAACGCGUUAAGUAGACCGCCUGGGGAGUACGGUCGCAAGAUUAAAACUCAAAUGAAUUGACGGGGGCCCGCCAC
Molecule: ribosomal RNA, 580 nt
Filed under: Aliivibrio sp.
Lineage: Bacteria; Pseudomonadati; Pseudomonadota; Gammaproteobacteria; Vibrionales; Vibrionaceae
Description: bacterial SSU rRNA
Rfam family: Bacterial small subunit ribosomal RNA
Source: RNAcentral